This is a long non-coding RNA of Haemorhous mexicanus (house finch), 1288 nucleotides long. RefSeq lists it as uncharacterized. The record is from RefSeq and is a predicted model, not a curated record. Lineage: Eukaryota; Metazoa; Chordata; Aves; Passeriformes; Fringillidae. The transcript is spliced from 2 exons.
GGCAAAGUGUGUGCAGCAUUUUCCUGUCACGGGGACCAGUGUUUCAAAGGCAGGAAGACCAUCACUAGAUGCAUUUUGGGACAGGAUUUCUGUGAGAUGAAGAAGAUGGGCUUGAAUUACAUGGCAGGAUGUAGCAAAGCCUGCAAGGCUGCCAAACCAGUCUGUGCUGGUGGGAUGAAGGCUGCCUGUUACCAGGAGUGCUGCCCAGCCACCCCUAAAGGCAGCUGUCUGAAACUGGAUGGCAAAGUUCACCUCAACAGCGCUGGGCAGGCGACACUGGCCCCACUCCUGAAGGUCAUGGCAUGUGGGGUGGUCCUUCUCCUGAAUUACAGGGUCUCCACUUCCCUCUGGGGGUAGGCAGCAGCCAGGUGGCUCUGCAGCCUCUCCUGUAGGAUCAGUAGGAUCCUGCUGCUCUCUGACUCCUGCUAGCAAACGCCCUCUGUACUGCCUCUGUCCCAUCAACAAGGUGUCUGGGGCCCUCUGCAUCUGCUCAUGGGCAGCUGCACCCUUGGGGGUCACUUUGGUCACCCUGCAUAGGACCCUGCUGUUGAUCCUAAACCCCCCACUAAGCCCUUGAGGGUCACUUUGCAUAGGACCCUGCUGUUGAUCCUAAACCCUCCCUAAGCUGCACUCUGAAUCCUGCACCAUCCCAGCAUGGGUGAGUCCUGGCAUUUCAGUAAAGUUUAAGUACUUGAAAACAAGAUUCCCCCUUUUCCCAGAGGGAAAGCACUUAACCUGUGCACUUAGAAAGCUACAUCAAGGGAUUCUACCCUACCCUGCCCAAAUCCUGUAGGUCUGAGAGACCUGCAAGCUAAUUGUGGAUCCAGGGAGUGCUGCUGGAAUGGGGGACCUCAGGAGCUGGAACAAGAGGGUUUUAGGCCUCCUUAAAACCCCAAAAAUUCUGCAUUGACUGAGGCACAGGGGCUGCUCUAAUCAAUGACCUGCUUGUGGCACAGUCUCCCUGCACCCCCUGUCAGCUCCAAGGUGCUCUGGCUAUGAAAUGCUUCUUGCCCAUGUAUGCAAAUCAGUAACUCUGUGUUUCAUCUCCCAGCCUCAGGCAGGGAAGUGGGAUUCAGCUAAAGGCAUCUCAUGUUUCAGAUGAUUCUGUUUCACAUCUGUGGUUCUCUGCUGCUGAAGGCAGAGCCCAGAGGUGAGCACACAGAGCAUGGCCAGGCAGAAUUACCUGUGGUCAAUGCACGGUGCUGUUCCCUGCCACCUCUGUCCUCUGCUGCCACCGGCUCCUUUGAGAAAAGAUUGCAAAAUAUUAAAAAGUCUUUGUGUCAGCCCC